AUACGGAGGGUGCAAGCGUUAUCCGGAAUUACUGGGCGUAAAGCGCGUGUAGGUGGUUAUGCAAGUCAUUUGUGAAAGCUCCCGGCUAAACUGGGAGAGGUCAGGUGAGACUGCAUGGCUAGAGGGCAAUAGAGGGGUGCGGAAUUCCGGGUGUAGUGGUGAAAUGCGUAGAUAUCCGGAGGAACACCAGAGGCGAAGGCGGCACCCUGGGUUGUACCUGACACUGAGACGCGAAAGCAUGGGUAGC
RNAcentral lists this ribosomal RNA (247 nucleotides) under uncultured bacterium. RNAcentral's name for it is "partial 16S ribosomal RNA". It matches the Rfam family "Bacterial small subunit ribosomal RNA", at positions 523 to 769 of the family's 1533-position model. The record is from RNAcentral.